This 74-nucleotide transfer RNA is filed under the name Mesocricetus auratus (golden hamster). It matches the Rfam family "tRNA". From Rfam's summary of the family: Transfer RNA (tRNA) molecules are approximately 80 nucleotides in length. Their secondary structure includes four short double-helical elements and three loops (D, anti-codon, and T loops). Further hydrogen bonds mediate the characteristic L-shaped molecular structure. tRNAs have two regions of fundamental functional importance: the anti-codon, which is responsible for specific mRNA codon recognition, and the 3' end, to which the tRNAs corresponding amino acid is attached (by aminoacyl-tRNA synthetases). tRNAs cope with the degeneracy of the genetic code in two manners: having more than one tRNA (with a specific anti-codon) for a particular amino acid; and 'wobble' base-pairing, i.e. permitting non-standard base-pairing at the 3rd anti-codon position. The record is from Rfam by way of RNAcentral. Lineage: Eukaryota; Metazoa; Chordata; Mammalia; Rodentia; Cricetidae.
GGUACAGUGACUUAGUUGGUUAAAGCACCUGUCUAGUAAACAGAAGAUCAUGGUUUCAAAAGCCAGCUGUGCUU